UGUGUGUGUGUGUGUGUGUGUGUAUGUGUGUGGAUAGAUGGGGGCCACCUUAUUAACAGGCUUCCCUGGUAAACCUGAUGCUUCCAGCUGAGUUAUUCUGUGGAGACGUGACCUCUUUGUUUUCUCCAGAACUGACAGGGAAAGUGACGAGGACGCCCUCUUGGCUUUUGCGAUAGUCCAGUCCGUGCCACAGGAGCCCUCACACCGUGUGGUCACGGGGCUCACUAUAUGUAAGGCAGUGUCCCAGGGUUCUUCCGGCAUCCUGGCAUCAAGUCUUGUAACGUGACCGCCAGCGGCCUGAAAGGUGAGCGUAGUCACUAGCCAAGCCUCCUUGCAAUUUGAAGACACCACAGCGGUUAAGAGGUGGCGUUGGAGGCUGGACCCCAGCUUCUGUUGUGACCAGAAAGAUGAAUCAAUUCUUUUACAUGCAUUUAUCUAUUUAUUUAUGUCAUGUGUGUGGCAAGGAAGUACCACAGAGGGUGGUCUGAAUGCCAGGUCCCCAGCAGCUGGCCUCGCGUAGGUUGGUCCAGGAGACAGGGCCUGUGUGGUGGGACCCUGUACUCACUGACAAGCAAGUCAGUCCUCUGCCACUUGGCUGCCUCUGUGACACUGGGCAGACCUUGUGGCCUUCCUUGAGUCUCUGUGGGAGAAUUAGAGUAGGUGAUAUUUAAGGGUUCUGCCUCUACUAUGGUCUUUAGGACAAUGAAAAUUGAGGCAGGAGGAUAGCCUGGGUUACAUAGUAUUUUAUCAAAAAAAAAAAAAAAAAAGGAAGGAAGGAAGAAAGAAAGAAAAGGGGUCAUCAAGAUGGCUCAGUGGGUUCAGUUACUUGCCACGAAACCUGAUGGCCCAAGUUCAAUGCCCAGAGCCCACAUGGUGGGUGGAAGGAGAGAACUGCCUUUGGAAAUUUCCUUCUGACCUCUGCAUGUAUACCAUGGCGUGUGUGCACAUGCACGGGAUCAGUAAACGUACAGAAGGAAAGCUGAAGGGAAGGUGCGACUGAGGCAGUGUGAUGAACUCCCAGAGGCCUCUGCAGCUUCCGCACACUUGCCGACCACCCACGCUCCUAGGCCCAUUCCAGACCACUGAGUAGAGACAACUGGGGAUGCAGCCCACAGCCAGCCCUCCCCGAGUGUCCCUGACCCUGCACUGAACACCACGGCUCGGGAGGACUUCUCAGGCCCUGCGGGAGGACUUCUCAGGCCCUGCAGUCUGGCCUGGCAACCUUGCUUCUCGGUUGGAGAGGACGGAUGGGAAAUCCUUCGGGAUCUGCUAACAGAUCGCGAGCUUCCACCUAGCAACAAAAGGCUAAGGAUGCCAUCAGCUGUCACCGAGACUUCCCUGCUUUGCUGUAGCCCAUCCACCUGAUGGAAAACUGUCUUGAUUUAUGACUUUCUUUGUUCCGUUACCGUAAAACCGUCAUCAAACUGUCACCAUGCUAGAACAUGGCAUUUGGGGCAACCGAGUCCGUGUUCCCUGGGCAUAGUCAUUCCCAUUUGUCUCUGGAAUAAACUAUCCCUUAUUCCUGUCUGGGUAA
Molecule: non-coding RNA, 1534 nt
Organism: Peromyscus maniculatus bairdii (prairie deer mouse)
Lineage: Eukaryota; Metazoa; Chordata; Mammalia; Rodentia; Cricetidae
Source: RefSeq, a predicted model, not a curated record